AUGUCGAGGUAUUUUUCGAUGGCUAUGCGCGAUCAAAGAGCCCACUAUAUAUCCAUAGAAGUUCCACAACCAAGCUGUCCAUGAACACUGUCGAGGUAUUUUUAAGACCUUACUCAUAGAUGAAUGAGGUUAUGGUAGUGAAUCAUAAUAGAACCGAAUUUUUCAUAGAAUUUUUAAUGUCAAGUGUUUCCAACAGAACUAAGAAACAUAAGUAUAAUUUAAAAACUCCAUAUUCAUUUUGGUAUAAACCUAUUCUGAUCGGUUACAAAGAGAUUUCAUUUGGACUAUUGAGACCAAUACAUAAUAGGUGCAUCGAACGUGUUUGACGAAAUACUGCAAAGGGGAAAAAAGAGUUCCUCCAUCAGGUGAUACAAAUUUCCAUCUUUGUUGUAAUACUGCGUUGGGUAGGAUUUCCCAUGUACUCUGUUGAAAUUUCUCACUUCCCAUUCAGUGAAGAACAUAAAACUUUAGAACUCCUUUUUUGACCAAGAUGGUUUCGAUCAAGUAUAUUCUUAUUCAAUGUGUUUGUGUGUAUUUAUUGAUUACUACACGAUUUUUAGUUGAGGAACAAAUUUUGGCCAGACAGCAGCUGGUCUCUUCAUUUCUGGUGCAAACUCUAAUGAUCUUGGCAUUUGCGAUGGCGAAAAAUUGAUUAUAUUGAAGGAUUACCAAGGGAACCAGAGUGGGGACAUUUGAGAGGUUUGCAUAAAGCAAUCAAGCUAAGUGAACCAACUUUAGUUUCCGUGUAUUCCGCGAUGACUUGGCCUGUAAAAAAUCUGGAGGUUCAUGUGUUCCGGUGAAAGGCUUCCUGUGCUGCAUUCCUUGCAAACUAUGACACCAAUUCUGCCGCAAAAAUCACCUUUCAGAAUACGCAAUAUGAUCUGCCUCGCUGGUCCAUCAGAGACUCAGUGUUCUCCCUGGCACUAGAGAAUCCAAAACUGACAUUUAGCAACAAUGUGAAGUUGAGAGCUGGAAUUAACAAGAUUUCUUUGUUAAGCGUUGUUGUUGGUCUUCCGAUUGGUUCUCGCUUUCUAACAAAAGUUCGUGUUCUUUGGAUGGCAAUCAUGGUAUUGGACUCAUUAUCAUACCAUUCAUUUUCAUAAUGUUGGUGUGCAUUAUGCUACAUGGAAUACUACGGUUCUUGGUCCGGUUACAUUGGAGGGUCACAAUGAGAGAAAAAGAGACUUAACAAAUCAAAUGUGGUCCUACAAGGUUUGUUUUCACUUUUCAUGAUAUUUUUCUGCUCCACCUUUCUUUUGCUAGACUGCAUAAGCAAUUAUGGAAGUUACAAAAUCUCUUAUGUGUUUCUGGAUCUUGGAUUUGUGGAAUGAUUUGUGACAGGAAAAGAAGACAACGGACUCUACUUCAUUUUCUUUUUCCUGUACAAUGAAGACAACCCCCAGUUUUUGCUUUCCCUCCACGAAUUCCUCGACAAAUCUGACCUUCAAACCCAACCUCAAGAUAGAUCGGCAAAGCCAACAAUAGUGAGAUAUCAUAAAGCCUGAUAUGGAGAAAUCGGGACGCGUAUUUCAUAAAUAAGUAGUUAAUAACCCUCACAUGGUACAAGGUAAUAACCCUCCAAAUAGUUCAAUAAUGCCUUGGUGGCCUUCUAUUGACGGCAUGCAAAUCAAUUCCAUUGGCCUCGAUACAUAGCACAUGAUAACUGUG
This is a long non-coding RNA of Rhododendron vialii, 1668 nucleotides long. RefSeq lists it as uncharacterized. NCBI's taxonomy places the organism in Eukaryota, Viridiplantae, Streptophyta, Magnoliopsida, Ericales, Ericaceae. The transcript has 3 exons. The record is from RefSeq and is a predicted model, not a curated record.